UAAGGAAUAUUGCACAAUGGGCGAAAGCCUGAUGGAGCAACGCCGCGUGAGUGAUGAAGGCCUUCGGGUUGUAAAGCUCUGUCUUCUGGGACGAUAAUGACGGUACCAGAGGAGGAAGCCACGGCUAACUACGUGCCAGCAGCCGCGGUAAUACGUAGGUGGCAAGCGUUGUCCGGAUUUACUGGGCGUAAAGGAUGCGUAGGCGGAUACUUAAGUCAGAUGUGAAAAUCCCGGGCUUAACUUGGGAACUGCAUUUGAAACUGGGUAUCUAGAGUGCGGGAGAGGAAAGUGGAAUUCCUAGUGUAGCGGUGAAAUGCGUAGAGAUUAGGAAGAACACCAGUGGCGAAGGCGACUUUCUGGACCGUAACUGACGCUGAGGCAUGAAAGCGUGGGGAGCAAACA
This 402-nucleotide ribosomal RNA is filed under the name uncultured bacterium. RNAcentral describes it as "bacterial SSU rRNA". It matches the Rfam family "Bacterial small subunit ribosomal RNA", at positions 355 to 774 of the family's 1533-position model. The record is from RNAcentral.